GAAAUGCGAUAAGUAGUGUGAAUUGCAGAAUUCAGUGAAUCAUCGAAUCUUUGAACGCACAUUGCGCCCUUUGGUAUUCCUUAGGGCAUGCCUGUUCGAGCGUCAUCUAAACCUUCAAGCCCUGCUUGGUGUUGGGUGCCUGUCCCGCCUCCGCGCGCGGACUCACCUCAAAUCCAUUGGCGGCCCCCGCGUCGGCCACGAGCGCAGCAGAAACGCGAACUCGUGAGCCCGUCCGGGCGGCUCCCAGAAGCUACACCCACCCAGUUUGACCUCGGAUCAGGUAGGGAUACCCGCUGAACUUUAGC
RNAcentral lists this unclassified non-coding RNA (305 nucleotides) under plant metagenome. RNAcentral's name for it is "partial contains 5.8S ribosomal RNA, internal transcribed spacer 2, and large subunit ribosomal RNA". The stretch from base 1 to 105 matches the Rfam family "5.8S ribosomal RNA", at positions 50 to 154 of the family's 154-position model. The record is from RNAcentral.